CAAGAAAUAAUUUAAAAAAGAAUAUUAAUUUUGGAGAUUAAAAGUAUAAAUUUAAUUAUUUUUUUGA
This 67-nucleotide transfer RNA is filed under the name Acropyga goeldii. Its description in RNAcentral is "tRNA-Pro". Lineage: Eukaryota; Metazoa; Arthropoda; Insecta; Hymenoptera; Formicidae. The record is from RNAcentral.